This 468-nucleotide ribosomal RNA is filed under the name uncultured bacterium. RNAcentral describes it as "partial 16S ribosomal RNA". It matches the Rfam family "Bacterial small subunit ribosomal RNA", at positions 28 to 507 of the family's 1533-position model. The record is from RNAcentral.
GACGAACGCUGGCGGCGUGCUUAACACAUGCAAGUCGAACGGAAAGGCCCUGCUUUUGUGGGGUGCUCGAGUGGCGAACGGGUGAGUAACACGUGAGUAACCUGCCCUUGACUUUGGGAUAACUUCAGGAAGCUGGGGCUAAUACCGGAUAGGAGCUCCUGCUGCAUGGUGGGGGUUGGAAAGUUUCGGCGGUUGGGGAUGGACUCGCGGCUUAUCAGCUUGUUGGUGGGGUAGUGGCUUACCAAGGCUUUGACGGGUAGCCGGCCUGGGAGGGUGACCGGCCACAUUGGGACUGAGGUACGGCCCAGACUCCUACGGGAGGCAGCAGUGGGGAAUAUUGCACAAUGGGCGGAAGCCUGAUGCAGCAACGCCGCGUGCGGGAUGACGGCCUUCGGGUUGUAAACCGCUUUCGCCUGUGACGAAGCGUGAGUGACGGUAAUGGGUAAAGAAGCACCGGCUAACUACGUG